AGCGAACGCUGGCGGCAGGCCUAACACAUGCAAGUCGAACGAACUCUUCGGAGUUAGUGGCGGACGGGUGAGUAACACGUGGGAACGUGCCUUUUGGUUCGGAAUAACUCAGGGAAACUUGUGCUAAUACCGAAUGUGCCCUUCGGGGGAAAGAUUUAUCGCCAUUAGAGCGGCCCGCGUCUGAUUAGCUAGUUGGUGAGGUAACGUCUCACCAAGGCGACGAUCAGUAGCUGGUCUGAGAGGAUGACCAGCCACACUGGGACUGAGACACGGCCCAGACUCCUACGGGAGGCAGCAGUGGGGAAUCUUGCGCAAUGGGCGAAAGCCUGACGCAGCCAUGCCGCGUGAAUGAUGAAGGUCUUAGGAUUGUAAAAUUCUUUCACCGGGGACGAUAAUGACGGUACCCGGAGAAGAAGCCCCGGCUAACUUCGUG
This 433-nucleotide ribosomal RNA is filed under the name uncultured bacterium. Its description in RNAcentral is "partial 16S ribosomal RNA". It matches the Rfam family "Bacterial small subunit ribosomal RNA", at positions 29 to 507 of the family's 1533-position model. The record is from RNAcentral.